This 636-nucleotide ribosomal RNA is filed under the name Phlegmacium pansicolor. RNAcentral describes it as "eukaryotic LSU rRNA". The stretch from base 260 to 413 matches the Rfam family "5.8S ribosomal RNA". The record is from RNAcentral. Lineage: Eukaryota; Fungi; Basidiomycota; Agaricomycetes; Agaricales; Cortinariaceae.
CGUAGGUGAACCUGCGGAAGGAUCAUUAUUGAAGUAAACUUGAUGAGUUGCUGCUGGUUCUCUAGGGAGCAUGUGCACACUUGUCAUCUUUAUAUCUCCACCUGUGCACCUUUUGUAGACCUGGAUAUCUCUCUGAAUGCUAGUCAUUCAGGUUUGAGGAUUGACUUUAUGUCUCUUUCCUUACAUUUUCAGGCCUAUGUUUCUUCAUAUACACGUUUUAGAAUGUAAUCAAUGGGUCUUUGUGCCUAUAAAACUAUACAACUUUCAGCAACGGAUCUCUUGGUUCUCGCAUCGAUGAAGAACGCAGCGAAAUGCGAWAAGUAAUGUGAAUUGCAGAAUUCAGUGAAUCAUCGAAUUUUUGAACGCAUCUUGCGCUCCUUGGUAUUCCGAGGAGCAUGCCUGUUUGAGUGUCAUUAAUAUAUAUAUAUCAACCUCUUCAGCUUUUGCUUGUUGAGUUGUUGGAUGUUGGGGGGGGUUUAUUUGCUGGCCUUCUCGGGUCAGCUCCCCUGAAAUGCAUUAGCGGAACAAUUUGCUCAUUGGUGUGAUAACUAUCUACACUAUUGACUUUAAGCAGUUCAGCUUCUAAUAGUCCAUUUACUUGGAUAAGAUUUCAUUAAUGUGACCUCAAAUCAGGUA